RNAcentral lists this long non-coding RNA (1448 nucleotides) under Callithrix jacchus (white-tufted-ear marmoset). Its description in RNAcentral is "lncRNA (ENSCJAG00000075360.1)". Lineage: Eukaryota; Metazoa; Chordata; Mammalia; Primates; Cebidae. The record is from RNAcentral.
GUCACUUUUAUGGAACAGUUUUUCUGUCAUUGAAACUCAUAAGACAUGGACUCAGUAUUUCAAGGUUCAAUCUCACAUAAUAUUCAAAACUUCAAUUUUACUUUAAUGUUAAAGUUCUCUUUUUUUCUCUUCUUCUCUAUCUCAAUGGCUGGUUUCUACUUCUCAGAGAUCAGAAUGGGGGAGAAAGAAGAGGAAGGGGCAGGAAAGUUCCAUCUGGUAUGGCUGUGGUCUAGCUCCAGUGUUUUCUAGGCUUGCAGGUGGUGAGAGCUCGCUUUUUCUCUUGUGGGAGGCUUUCACAUGGGUUCUUCAGAGACUCUCAUCACUGGAGAUCUUUCAGUUGAAGCUCUCUGGAAAUGACAAAUGCAUCCCUAUUUCUCUUGGUUGCUUGAUUCUUAACCCCAUUUCAUUAAACAAUACCCAAUUCAUUCUCUUUUUUCUCUUCUGCAGGAUGUACUUACAUCCCAACAAACUGAAAAUGCUGACCAACUGCAGCACAGCCAACUCGAAUUUGCUCUUUCGUCAAAGUGACCAGCACCUCAUUUCUUCGUCUUUAGAAUUUGUAGAACUUGUAUUCUUAGUCCAGCUGUUUAAUAAAUUGCAAUCACCUAAACACAUGCUCCUAAAUCAAAUCUCGGAUGUCAGAAAGAGCACUGAACCAUCACCGGUUUCUGUUUUUUGGAGAUGCCAAGUCAUAAUAUGCUUUUAAAGGAUGCUUCUACAAGAGCAUCACUUUUCUUUCUUGUGGAUCCACUGAAAACUGCUUUUGCUGCUGUAGAUGUGGUGGAAAUGAGGAAGCAGAAGAAGGUAAGGAAUUUUUUAAAAAAGUACUGGAUUUGUUUUAUAUUGGUGCUAUGACAAAUUAUCAUAAAUUUAGCAGCUUACAGCCAAUCAGAUCUAUUACUUCACACUUCUGUAGGUCAGGAACUGGUGGCUAGUUCUGCUCUAGCUUCCCCAAGGUCAAAAUCAAGGUUCUGGCCAGCCUGGGAUUUUGCCAGAAGGCUUUGGGAGACAAUCUGUUUCCAGAAUGAUUUACGCUGUUGGCAGAAUUUGCUACUAUGUGGUUAUAGGACUUAAAUCCCAGUUAUCUUGCUGGCAGUUGGCUGGGGGUCAUUCUUAGUUUUUAGAGGCCGACUGCAUUUCCCUUUGGUCUCUUUAACUCAUUUUCUUUUCUGCCACAUCUCUUCUCUGACCCCAGUUGGAGAAAGUUCUCUGCUUUAAACGAAUCAAGUGAUUAGACUGGGCUCACCUGGAUAAUACAGGAUGCUAUCCCUCUUUUAUGAUCAAUAACCUCAAUUACAUCUGCAAAAUCUUGAACAGUAUCUUAAGCGUUUGAUUGAAUAAGCAGAAGACAGGUUAUUUGGGCAACAUCUUCGGAAUUCUGCCACCACUAGCUUUUUUCUUUCUUUUACUCAAAACUUGAGGAUAGAAACAUUCACACUCUUUUCAAA